Molecule: ribosomal RNA, 252 nt
Filed under: uncultured bacterium
Lineage: Bacteria
Description: partial 16S ribosomal RNA
Rfam family: Bacterial small subunit ribosomal RNA
Source: RNAcentral
UACGGAGGAUGCGAGCGUUAUCCGGAUUUAUUGGGUUUAAAGGGUGCGUAGGCGGACUGUCAAGUCAGCGGUAAAAUUGAGAGGCUCAACCUCUUCCCGCCGUUGAAACUGGUGGUCUUGAGUGGAUGAGAAGUACGCGGAAUGCGUGGUGUAGCGGUGAAAUGCAUAGAUAUCACGCAGAACUCCGAUUGCGAAGGCAGCGUACCGGCAUCCAACUGACGCUGAGGCACGAAAGCGUGGGGGGCAAACAGG